GAUGAACGCUGGCGGCGUGCCUAAUACAUGCAGGUCGAGCGAACAGACGGGGAGCUUGCUCCUCUGACGUUAGCGGCGGACGGGUGAGUAACACGUGGAUAACCUACCUAUAAGACUGGGAUAACUUCGGGAAACCGGAGCUAAUACCGGAUAAUAUAUUGAACCGCAUGGUUCAAUAGUGAAAGACGGUUUUGCUGUCACUUAUAGAUGGAUCCGCGCCGCAUUAGCUAGUUGGUAAGGUAACGGCUUACCAAGGCGACGAUGCGUAGCCGACCUGAGAGGGUGAUCGGCCACACUGGAACUGAGACACGGUCCAGACUCCUACGGGAGGCAGCAGUAGGGAAUCUUCCGCAAUGGGCGAAAGCCUGACGGAGCAACGCCGCGUGAGUGAUGAAGGUCUUCGGAUCGUAAAACUCUGUUAUUAGGGAAGAACAAAUGUGUAAGUAACUAUGCACGUCUUGACGGUACCUAAUCAGAAAGCCACGGCUAACUACGUG
RNAcentral lists this ribosomal RNA (497 nucleotides) under uncultured bacterium. Its description in RNAcentral is "partial 16S ribosomal RNA". It matches the Rfam family "Bacterial small subunit ribosomal RNA", at positions 28 to 507 of the family's 1533-position model. The record is from RNAcentral.